Molecule: long non-coding RNA, 243 nt
Filed under: Ananas comosus (pineapple)
Lineage: Eukaryota; Viridiplantae; Streptophyta; Magnoliopsida; Poales; Bromeliaceae
Description: long non-coding RNA (ACOM_LNC007868)
Source: RNAcentral
AAUACCCGAACCCGAACCCGAAAACUAAAUUAAAAUCCGUAUCCGAAUCCGAACCAGGCGGGUUAUAAAAAUCCAUACCCAUAUCCGUAUCCGAUCAAAAACCCGAAACCCGUACCCGGAUCAGGACCCGACGGAUUUUAAAAAUCUAUACCGUUAAAUAAAAAUCUAAAAAAUAAAAAAUUAUUAAAUAUUUUAUAUAUUAUAUAAAUAAAUAAAAAUAAAGUAUGUAUAUAUAUAAUUUAU